RNAcentral lists this ribosomal RNA (324 nucleotides) under Triticum aestivum (bread wheat). RNAcentral describes it as "partial small subunit ribosomal RNA". Lineage: Eukaryota; Viridiplantae; Streptophyta; Magnoliopsida; Poales; Poaceae. The record is from RNAcentral.
AUGCAGCAGUGGCAGUUAAAGUCAGAAUCGAUGCUCUGUCAGGAACUGCGCUGUAUGAAUGAGCUCAAUAACGAUGUUCCUGUCAGUUUGGCAGUCACCGAGGACAGGCAUUUCGAAGGUGAAUCUUGGACUUGCCCAAUCAUUAUUUUUCAGGAAGAGUUGUUGGGCGGUGUCCCCACAGUUGAGGAGCCCAUUCCGGUAGAUGGCAACCCACACCCAAGACCUCCUGAGCAGCAUCACCAUCCGAAUCAGCACAACCUCUUCUUUGGACCUGUACCGCAGCAUGAUAACAACGAGCAGCCUGAGAAUGCUCAAGAUGUUUAG